UUCCUCCACUGCUGCUGCUCCAGUAUCCCCACCUGCUCCUGGAGCGGCAACUACGGCUGCAGCGGGUGCAAAGGCGGCAGCAGAAACUCCAAGCUUAUCCUGUAGGUAGUCGACGAGGGUGCGGGCUUCCUCCAGAGUCAAGGAAGAGAUUUCAGCACCCAAUUUUUCAAUUUUCUCGGGAGCUGAAACGGCGGAAAUAGGUCGGAGGUGGGUGGAGCGAUGGGUAAGGGUGGAGAAGUUGGAACGGAGAGGGAAUUCAACAAGGAAAUGCUUGGUAGGGGAAGGUGUAAGAUAAGGGGAAGGGGAGGAGAGAGUGAGUGUUGUUGUGGAAGAGAGAGAUGUCGCCAUUUCUUCUCUGGAGAGAGAGUGACUGAGGAGCAAAGCUUAAG
Molecule: long non-coding RNA, 389 nt
Filed under: Manihot esculenta (cassava)
Lineage: Eukaryota; Viridiplantae; Streptophyta; Magnoliopsida; Malpighiales; Euphorbiaceae
Description: long non-coding RNA (MESC_LNC006736)
Source: RNAcentral